AGACCAAAGUUACAGCGAGUUGAAAUUUGGUUAUAAUGACUCCGGUAAUAAGAGUCAGUCAGUGACUACUGUACUUGGCUUAGAGUCACUGCCGUGCCUCUUGAUAUAUAUAUCCAAAAUCCUUAUCAAUAACUACUUGAAGUAUGGAAGUAUUUAAACUUAAUACAAUUUUUACGAUUAAAUAUAACAAAUUGAUCUUCUUAUCACGAUUCAUUAUAAUUGCAUUUAUUGAAGAGAAUGCUGAUUAGCACAGAAAAAGUGAGAAAGAUGAAGUGAGAUACACCGCAAUUCUCUAUAUAAUUGGAUAUUUCUUUUUACUAUGUGAUAUUCCUAAACUUAGUAUCAAAUAAGUAAUAAUUUUCUUUAUGCACGCAGCAGAAAUCAGUUUUCAGAUUAUGACGAAAUAUACAGUAAAGAUGUAUUUAUACGUGUCCGCCAAACUUUUGUUCAUCACUGAAUUUUUCAAGAUUACAUUGAAUUCAUGCUUCAACAAAACACGAAUAUUACUUCUCGUCACUGGUACUGGACGGUGUUUUCCUAUUUUCAUCGUAGCAGCUAGGCAUAUGAAUAUUUUGUUAAAUUAUAAAUUGAAUAGACUAAGACGAUACAACAUAUCAAACUAAAUUAAUUGUAAGAAUUAAAUAUAAUAACAACUUCAUUAUACAUUGUAAAAUGCAUAUUACUUGUUUAUUACUUGUAAACGAUCUUUUCGAUUGGGAAGGAGGAACUGGAUUUAACACUUAUUAAGCAAACACACAAACCAUAUCUAAGAGAAAAACAGACCAGUGGAUCCGAUGACUCGUGAUAAAUCUUGAUCAGGAUAAAGCGGAAAACUGUUCUGUUUUCUCUACCAGAUCGAUGCAAAUAUGGAUGAUGCAUUUAUCUGCCUUAACAAAUGAAGAUUCCAAUUCUGAUUUGUAAAAUUUUAACCGUUAGCAUAAAACUCUUGUUCAAUCUUAGUCUUCCUUUGUUCUAAUUGUACUCAUUCACUGUCUUUCGUGUUUGUAUCCGUUGUUGGAUUAAUGUUAUUGUCUUGCAUUAAUCAGUAGGUAUGUUUUCAACUUAAAGAAACUAAAGAAAAUAAUAUUUAACAAAAACAAAAAAAACUUUAUGUAGAAGAAAAAGAAAUGUCAUUUCUCAUAAACGUGCUUAUAAAUCUUGCGUUAAACUACAAUAAGCUCCUAUUAAAGUUAGAUUUUCCGUUUAUCUUUAUUCUCGUUAACUUUGUUCUAAGAUGUAUUUAUAUCUUAGUC
RNAcentral lists this long non-coding RNA (1253 nucleotides) under Androctonus crassicauda. The record is from RNAcentral. Lineage: Eukaryota; Metazoa; Arthropoda; Arachnida; Scorpiones; Buthidae.